RNAcentral lists this ribosomal RNA (394 nucleotides) under uncultured bacterium. Its description in RNAcentral is "bacterial SSU rRNA". It matches the Rfam family "Bacterial small subunit ribosomal RNA", at positions 773 to 1182 of the family's 1533-position model. The record is from RNAcentral.
AGGGAAUAGAUACCCAGGUAGUCCACGCCGUAAACGAUGGAUGCUAGCUGUUAUGAGUAUCGACCCUCGUAGUAGCGUAGCUAACGCGUUAAGCAUCCCGCCUGUGGAAUACGGUCGCAAGACUAAAACAUAAAGGAAUUGACGGGGACCCGCACAAGCGGUGGAGCGUGUUGUUUAAUUCGAUGGUAAGCGAAGAACCUUACCCAGGCUUGACAUCCUGCCAAGUUCGCCGAAAGGCGAGUGUGCCUUCGGGCCGCAGUGACAGGUGAUGCAUGGCCGUCGUCAGCUCGUGUCGUGAGAUGUUUGGUUAAGUCCAUCAACGAGCGCAACCCUUAUAGUUAGUUGUAUUUCUCUAGCUAGACUGCCCUGGUAACAGGGAGGAAGGGGGGUAGGU